RNAcentral lists this ribosomal RNA (542 nucleotides) under uncultured Thermotogaceae bacterium. Its description in RNAcentral is "bacterial SSU rRNA". It matches the Rfam family "Bacterial small subunit ribosomal RNA", at positions 338 to 877 of the family's 1533-position model. The record is from RNAcentral. Lineage: Bacteria; Thermotogati; Thermotogota; Thermotogae; Thermotogales; Thermotogaceae.
CCUACGGGAGGCAGCAGUGGGGAAUCUUGGACAAUGGGCGAAAGCCUGAUCCAGCGACGCCGCGUGGAGGAAGAAGUCCUUCGGGAUGUAAACUUCUGAACUAGCCGAAUAAAAGGCCUGUGGACACACAGGAGAAGAAAGUAGGCUAGGAAAAGUCCCGGCUAACUACGUGCCAGCAGCCGCGGUAAGACGUAGGGGGCAAGCGUUACCCGGAAUUACUGGGCGUAAAGGGGGCGUAGGCGGUAAAAGAAGUCAUCUGUGAAAACCUAUUGCUCAACGAUAGGCUAGCGGAUGAAACUGAAUUACUUGAGGGCACCAGAGGUAGACGGAAUUACCCGAGUAGGGGUGAAAUCCGCAGAUACGGGUAGGAACGCCGGUGGAGAAGUCGGUCUACUGGGGUGCACCAGACGCUGAGGCCCGAAAGCUAGGGGAGCAAACCGGAUUAGAUACCCGGGUAGUCCUAGCCGUAAACGAUGCUCACUAGGUGUAGGGAGUGAUAAACUCUCUGUGCUGAAGCGAACGCGCUAAGUGAGCCGCCUGGG